RNAcentral lists this transfer RNA (76 nucleotides) under Thermoactinomyces intermedius. RNAcentral's name for it is "tRNA-Ala". It matches the Rfam family "tRNA". Rfam says of the family: Transfer RNA (tRNA) molecules are approximately 80 nucleotides in length. Their secondary structure includes four short double-helical elements and three loops (D, anti-codon, and T loops). Lineage: Bacteria; Bacillati; Bacillota; Bacilli; Caryophanales; Thermoactinomycetaceae. The record is from RNAcentral. RNAcentral also lists the same sequence under 40 other names.
GGGGCAUUAGCUCAGCUGGGAGAGCGCUACACUGGCAGUGUAGAGGUCAGCGGUUCGAGCCCGCUAUGCUCCACCA